UACGUAGGGGGCUAGCGUUGUCCGGAAUCAUUGGGCGUAAAGAGCGUGUAGGCGGUCCGGUAAGUCCGCUGUGAAAGUCGGGGGCUCAACCCUCGAAUGCCGGUGGAUACUGUCGGGCUAGAGUACGGAAGAGGCGAGUGGAAUUCCUGGUGUAGCGGUGAAAUGCGCAGAUAUCAGGAGGAACACCUAUUGCGAAGGCAGCUCGCUGGGACGUAACUGACGCCGAGACGCGAAAGCGUGGGGAGCAAACAGG
RNAcentral lists this ribosomal RNA (253 nucleotides) under uncultured bacterium. Its description in RNAcentral is "partial 16S ribosomal RNA". It matches the Rfam family "Bacterial small subunit ribosomal RNA", at positions 524 to 776 of the family's 1533-position model. The record is from RNAcentral.